CCUACGGGGGGCAGCAGUGAGGAAUAUUGGUCAAUGGCCGGAAGGCUGAACCAGCCAUGCCGCGUGAAGGUCAGUGCCCUAUGGGCGUUAAACUUCUUUUGUGCGGGAGCAAUAAUGGUCACGUGUGGCCAGACGAGAGUACCGUACGAAUAAGCAUCGGCUAACUCCGUGCCAGCAGCCGCGGUAAUACGGGGGAUGCAAGCGUUAUCCGGAUUUAUUGGGUUUAAAGGGUGCGUAGGCUGUGAGGUAAGUCAGCGGUGAAAUGCCCCCGCGCAACGGGGUGAAGUGCCAUUGAUACUGCCUGGCUGGAAUGCGGAUGCCGUGGGAGGAAUGUGUGGUGUAGCGGUGAAAUGCAUAGAUAUCACACAGAACACCGAUUGCGAAGGCAUCUCACGAAUCCGCGAUUGACGCUGAUGCACGAAAGCGUGGGUAUCAAACAGGAUUAGAUACCCGAGUAGUC
RNAcentral lists this ribosomal RNA (460 nucleotides) under uncultured bacterium. RNAcentral's name for it is "partial 16S ribosomal RNA". It matches the Rfam family "Bacterial small subunit ribosomal RNA", at positions 338 to 795 of the family's 1533-position model. The record is from RNAcentral.